RNAcentral lists this ribosomal RNA (396 nucleotides) under Triticum aestivum (bread wheat). Its description in RNAcentral is "partial small subunit ribosomal RNA". The record is from RNAcentral. Lineage: Eukaryota; Viridiplantae; Streptophyta; Magnoliopsida; Poales; Poaceae.
UUUGAGCUAUUUCUAUUGUUUGUGUUGGAUCAAAACAAAAAAAAUGUCUCAAUUUUUGAUCCGAUACCAAUACCUACUUUGGGGAAUAAUGUACUUAAAAUUGUGGUCGACAACCUAAACCUUGCGCUUGAAGUUGCAAACCCUGCAUUCAAGGAUGAUAUCUCUAAAUGGGAAUGCAUAGUUCAUGUUGCUCCAACAAAUUCACAUUGUGCCCUGUCCGGUUAUUUGGUUUUUAAUUACAUGCACUCAUUGUGCGAUGGAAAACUAUAUUUUCCCAUACCCAACGAUAGUUUUCAGCUGAGGAAGCAAUUUUUGGUGCAUCUUUUAAAGUAUGAUGAGAACGAAGCUCAAAACAAUAUCCCAUACAUUGAACGAAGCAUCAUUGAUUGCAUCUAU